CGGCGUGCCUAAUACAUGCAAGUCGCAGCGAAUAUUUGAGAGCUUGCUCUCAAAUGUUAGCGGCGGACGGGUGAGUAACACGUGGGCAACCUGCCUAUAAGACUGGGAUAACUUCGGGAAACCGGAGCUAAUACCGGAUAAUUCACAUCUACUCAUGUAGAUGUGCUGAAAGACGGUUUACGCUGUCACUUAUAGAUGGGCCCGCGGCGCAUUAGCUAGUUGGUGAGGUAACGGCUCACCAAGGCCACGAUGCGUAGCCGACCUGAGAGGGUGAUCGGCCACACUGGGACUGAGACACGG
RNAcentral lists this ribosomal RNA (300 nucleotides) under uncultured low G+C Gram-positive bacterium. Its description in RNAcentral is "bacterial SSU rRNA". It matches the Rfam family "Bacterial small subunit ribosomal RNA", at positions 40 to 329 of the family's 1533-position model. The record is from RNAcentral. Lineage: Bacteria; Bacillati; Bacillota.